Molecule: non-coding RNA, 213 nt
Organism: Pelobates cultripes (western spadefoot toad)
Lineage: Eukaryota; Metazoa; Chordata; Amphibia; Anura; Pelobatidae
Source: the annotation of a GenBank genome assembly
CCUUUGACCUUCAGAGAUAUGGAAUCCCAGAUACUUGACAGUUGGCUGACACAACUGAGCUUUCUUCCUGGACACCUUGUAUCCUGCCUUCCAAAGAAUGUGCAGUAAAUCAUAAGUUGCUUGCUGGCAUAUCUCUUUAGUAACUGCCGCUAUCAACAAAUCAUCCACGUAUUGUAGUAGUACACAUUCUCCUGGGAUGGACUUGAAAUCUAA